This 74-nucleotide transfer RNA is filed under the name Candidatus Neoflavobacterium equi. RNAcentral describes it as "tRNA-Arg". It matches the Rfam family "tRNA". From Rfam's summary of the family: Transfer RNA (tRNA) molecules are approximately 80 nucleotides in length. Their secondary structure includes four short double-helical elements and three loops (D, anti-codon, and T loops). The record is from RNAcentral. Lineage: Bacteria; Pseudomonadati; Bacteroidota; Flavobacteriia; Flavobacteriales; Flavobacteriaceae.
GACCGCGUAGUUCAACUGGAUAGAAUAUCAGAUUUCGGCUCUGAGGGUUGGGGGUUCGAACCCCUCCGCGGUCG